RNAcentral lists this non-coding RNA (25 nucleotides) under Rattus norvegicus (Norway rat). The record is from RNAcentral. Lineage: Eukaryota; Metazoa; Chordata; Mammalia; Rodentia; Muridae.
UCCAAAAAAUGUAUUCUGGUCUGCC